AGUGAACGCUGGCGGUAGGCCUAACACAUGCAAGUCGAACGGCAGCACAGUAAGAGCUUGCUCUUACGGGUGGCGAGUGGCGGACGGGUGAGGAAUACAUCGGAAUCUACUUUUUCGUGGGGGAUAACGUAGGGAAACUUACGCUAAUACCGCAUACGACCUACGGGUGAAAGCAGGGGAUCUUCGGACCUUGCGCGAUUGAAUGAGCCGAUGUCGGAUUAGCUAGUUGGCGGGGUAAAGGCCCACCAAGGCGACGAUCCGUAGCUGGUCUGAGAGGAUGAUCAGCCACACUGGAACUGGGACACGGUCCAGACUCCUACGAGAGGCAGCAGUGGGGAAUGUUGGACAAUGGGCGCAAGCCUGAUCCAGCCAUACCGCGUGGGUGAAGAAGGCCUUCGGGUUGUAAAGCCCUUUUGUUGGGAAAGAAAAGCAGCAGGUUAAUACCCCGCUGUUCUGACGGUACCCAAAGAAUAAGCACCGGCUAACUUCGUG
Molecule: ribosomal RNA, 492 nt
Filed under: uncultured bacterium
Lineage: Bacteria
Description: partial 16S ribosomal RNA
Rfam family: Bacterial small subunit ribosomal RNA
Source: RNAcentral